Molecule: non-coding RNA, 285 nt
Organism: Pelobates cultripes (western spadefoot toad)
Lineage: Eukaryota; Metazoa; Chordata; Amphibia; Anura; Pelobatidae
Source: the annotation of a GenBank genome assembly
GGGAAGGGGUGACUAGUGACAGAGGGAAGGGGUGACUAGUGACAGAGGGAGGUGUGACUAGGGACAGAGUGAGGGAGGUGGUGACUAGUGACAGGCACUCACUCUGUCACUAGUCAUUCCCUCCCUCCGUCACUGGUCACCCACUCCCUCCCUCACUCUGUCACCAGUCAUCCCCUCACUCUGUCACUUGUAACCCCUUCCUUCCCUCACUCUGCCACUAGUCACCCCUUCCCUCACUCUGUCACCUGUCAGCCCCUCACUCUGUCACUAGUCACCCCCUCACUC